GCCUAAGAGCUGUAGCAAGGUUUGUCCAAGACCCAAGAGCUGUGACGUGUAGAGGGCUUUAAUGUCCGUUGCUCCAAAUCUUUGUUGUGACGAGACAAAGAACCGAGGAACACACACUCGCGUGACAAGGCUGAGGAAGACUACCAAAGGAAGAAAUGCACUUGGAAGACCUCUUGCUAGCCAACCACCACCAUGAAGCUGAGAUUCAGACCUUGCUGAAGGGGGAAAUACUAUGGCCUACUGGAAGGUACAUCGACAUAAGGUGCCCACAGAUGGUCCACUCAGUUGAUCCAUGGUUGGAACUACAGGACAUAUAUUAUAUGUGAAAACAAAGGGGAAAGUGACAUCAAUAUUCUACUAGCAAAAGACAGCACUCUUUAAAAAACAGUUCUAUAUAAAAUUAAUCAAAGAGGAGCAGAGAGACUAGUAAGCAAGAUAAGCGAAACUUUUAUGCAAGAUGUAUAUCAUUUAUUUUCUAUCACUCCCAACUGUCUAAUAAAAUCC
Long non-coding RNA from Bubalus bubalis (water buffalo), 504 nucleotides. RefSeq lists it as uncharacterized. The record is from RefSeq and is a predicted model, not a curated record. The transcript has 3 exons. NCBI's taxonomy places the organism in Eukaryota, Metazoa, Chordata, Mammalia, Artiodactyla, Bovidae.